UGUAGCUCAUUGGCAGAGCACUUGUCUAUCAUGCAUGAAACCCUGAGUUCAAUCCUCAGUA
RNAcentral lists this transfer RNA (61 nucleotides) under Heterocephalus glaber (naked mole-rat). It matches the Rfam family "tRNA", at positions 6 to 65 of the family's 71-position model. From Rfam's summary of the family: Transfer RNA (tRNA) molecules are approximately 80 nucleotides in length. Their secondary structure includes four short double-helical elements and three loops (D, anti-codon, and T loops). Further hydrogen bonds mediate the characteristic L-shaped molecular structure. tRNAs have two regions of fundamental functional importance: the anti-codon, which is responsible for specific mRNA codon recognition, and the 3' end, to which the tRNAs corresponding amino acid is attached (by aminoacyl-tRNA synthetases). tRNAs cope with the degeneracy of the genetic code in two manners: having more than one tRNA (with a specific anti-codon) for a particular amino acid; and 'wobble' base-pairing, i.e. permitting non-standard base-pairing at the 3rd anti-codon position. The record is from Rfam by way of RNAcentral. Lineage: Eukaryota; Metazoa; Chordata; Mammalia; Rodentia; Bathyergidae.